AUGAACGCUAGCGACAGGCCUAACACAUGCAAGUCAGGGGCAGCACAAGGAGCAAUCUGAGGUGGCGACCGGCGCACGGGUGAGUAACACGUAUGCAACCUGCCUGUAAGCGGGGAAUAACCCGUUGAAAGACGGACUGAUACCGCAUAAUACUAAAUUACUGCAUGGUAAUUUAUUUAAACAUUUAUGGCUUACAGAUGGGCAUGCGCAUGAUUAGCUAGUUGGAGAGGUAACGGCUCCCCAAGGCAACGAUCAUUAGGGGUUCUGAGAGGAAGGUCCCCACACUGGUACUGAGACACGGACCAGACUCCUACGGGAGGCAGCAGUGAGGAAUAUUGGUCAAUGGACGAGAGUCUGAACCAGCCAAGUCGCGUGCAGGAAGAAUGUCCUUAAUGGAUUGUAAACUGCUUUUGCAGGGGAAUAAAGUGCAUCACGUGUGAUGCUUUGUAUGUACUCUGCGAAUAAGGAUCGGCUAACUCCGUGCCAGCAGCCGC
This 494-nucleotide ribosomal RNA is filed under the name uncultured bacterium. RNAcentral's name for it is "bacterial SSU rRNA". It matches the Rfam family "Bacterial small subunit ribosomal RNA", at positions 29 to 518 of the family's 1533-position model. The record is from RNAcentral.